RNAcentral lists this ribosomal RNA (252 nucleotides) under uncultured bacterium. RNAcentral describes it as "partial small subunit ribosomal RNA". It matches the Rfam family "Bacterial small subunit ribosomal RNA", at positions 26 to 286 of the family's 1533-position model. The record is from RNAcentral.
AGGACGAACGCUGGCGGCGUGCUUAACACAUGCAAGUCGAGCGGAAAGGCCCUUCGGGGUACUCGAGCGGCGAACGGGUGAGUAACACGUGAGCAACCUGCCCCUGGCUCUGGGAUAGCCUCCGGAAAACGGGGAUUAAUACCGGACAUGACCCUUGACCGCAUGGUUGGGGUGGAAAGUUUUUCGGCCAGGGUGGGCUCGCGGCCUAUCAGCUUGGUGGGGGGUGACGGCCCACAAGGCGACGACGGGUAG